CAGUAGCCACGGUAAUACGUAGGGUGCAAGCGUUAAUCGGAAUUACUGGGCGUAAAGCGUGCGUAGGCGGUUUGUUAAGUCUGUUGUGAAAUCCCCGGGCUCAACCUGGGAAUGGCAAUGGAUACUGGCAAGCUAGAGUGUGUCAGAGGAUGGUGGAAUUCCCGGUGUAGCGGUGAAAUGCGUAGAGAUCGGGAGGAACAUCAGUGGCGAAGGCGGCCAUCUGGGACAACACUGACGCUGAGGCACGAAAGCGUGGGGAGCAAACAGGAUUAGAUACCCCAGUAGUCCCUGUCUCUUAUAA
This 301-nucleotide ribosomal RNA is filed under the name uncultured bacterium. RNAcentral describes it as "partial 16S ribosomal RNA". It matches the Rfam family "Bacterial small subunit ribosomal RNA", at positions 509 to 809 of the family's 1533-position model. The record is from RNAcentral.